CCUACGGGAGGCAGCAGUAAGGAAUAUUGCCCAAUGGACGCAAGUCUGAGGCAGCAACGCCGCGUGCCCGAAGAAGGUCUUCGGAUUGUAAAGGGCUUUUCUGUGGGAAGAGAAAAAGGACAGUACCGCAGGAAUAAGUGUCGGCUAACUACGUGCCAGCAGCCGCGGUAAU
RNAcentral lists this ribosomal RNA (172 nucleotides) under uncultured bacterium. RNAcentral's name for it is "partial 16S rRNA". It matches the Rfam family "Bacterial small subunit ribosomal RNA", at positions 338 to 524 of the family's 1533-position model. The record is from RNAcentral.